AGAGUUUGAUCCUGGCUCAGAACUAACGCUGGCGGCGUGCCUAACACAUGCAAGUCGUACGAGAAAGUUGGCUUCGGCCGAUGAGUAAAGUGGCGCACGGGUGAGUAACGCGUGGAUAAUCUACCCCUCAGUUGGGAAUAACUCAUCGAAAGGUGGGCUAAUACCGAAUAAUACUGCAUGACUUCUGUUGUGUAGUCAAAGAUGGCCUCUGCUUGCAAGCUAUCGCUGAAGGAUGAGUCCGCGUACCAUUAGCUAGUUGGUAGGGUAAUGGCCUACCAAGGCAACGAUGGUUAGCUGGUCUGAGAGGAUGAUCAGCCACACUGGAACUGAGACACGGUCCAGACUCCUACGGGAGGCAGCAGUGAGGAAUAUUGCGCAAUGGGGGCAACCCUGACGCAGCAACGCCGCGUGAGUGAGGAAGGUUUUCGGACCGUAAAGCUCUGUCGAGCGGGAAGAAAUGCAUAGUGGCUAAUAUCCAUUAUGCUUGACGGUACCGCUAAAGGAAGCACCGGCUAACUCCGUGCCAGCAGCCGCGGUAAUACGGGGGGUGCUAGCGUUGUUCGGAAUCAUUGGGCGUAAAGAGCGUGUAGGCGGCUGGAUAAGUCAGAUGUGAAAGCCCUGGGCUUAACCCAGGAAGUGCAUUUGAAACUGUUCAGCUUGAGUAAGGGAGAGGAAAGUGGAAUUCCUGGUGUAGAGGUGAAAUUCGUAGAUAUCAGGAGGAACACCGGUGGCGAAGGCGACUUUCUGGCCCUAUACUGACGCUGAGACGCGAGAGCGUGGGUAGCAAACAGGAUUAGAUACCCUGAUAGUCCACGCUGUAAACGAUGUUCACUACGUGUUGGGGGUAUUGACCCUCUCAGUGCCGCAGCUAACGCAUUAAGUGAACCGCCUGGAGAGUACGGUCGCAGAUUAAACUCAAAGGAAUUGACGG
This 931-nucleotide ribosomal RNA is filed under the name uncultured bacterium. Its description in RNAcentral is "bacterial SSU rRNA". It matches the Rfam family "Bacterial small subunit ribosomal RNA", at positions 8 to 916 of the family's 1533-position model. The record is from RNAcentral.